GCAUUGUUGAAGAGUUCCAUACUAAGACGAAACGGCCGUCCAGUAC
This 46-nucleotide non-coding RNA is filed under the name Schistosoma haematobium. The record is from RNAcentral. Lineage: Eukaryota; Metazoa; Platyhelminthes; Trematoda; Strigeidida; Schistosomatidae.